Molecule: ribosomal RNA, 500 nt
Filed under: uncultured bacterium
Lineage: Bacteria
Description: partial 16S ribosomal RNA
Rfam family: Bacterial small subunit ribosomal RNA
Source: RNAcentral
AUUGAACGCUGGCGGCAUGCCUUACACAUGCAAGUCGAACGGCAGCACGGGAGCAAUCCUGGUGGCGAGUGGCGAACGGGUGAGUAAAGUAUCGGAACGUGCCCAGUCGUGGGGGAUAACGUAGCGAAAGUUACGCUAAUACCGCAUACGAUCUAUGGAUGAAAGCGGGGGAUCGCAAGACCUCGCGCGAUUGGAGCGGCCGAUAUCAGAUUAGGUAGUUGGUGGGGUAAAGGCCCACCAAGCCGACGAUCUGUAGCUGGUCUGAGAGGACGACCAGCCACACUGGGACGGAGACACGGCCCAGACUCCUACGGGGGGCAGCAGUGUGGAAUUUUGGAAAAUGGGCGAAAGCCUGAUCCAGCCAUGCCGCGUGCAGGAUGAAGGCCUUCGGGUUGUAAACUGCUUUUGUACGGAACGAAAAGGUUUGGCCUAAUAAGCUGAGCUCAUGACGGUACCGUAAGGAUAAGCACCGGCUAACUACGUGCCAGCAGCCGCGGUAA